ACGAGUUGUUGCAUCUGUCCUGAAACAUCAAUCACGGUUCUUGAAAGAAUUGAGGUAUUGCACACAGAAUAGGUGAAAUAGCUUUC
Molecule: non-coding RNA, 86 nt
Organism: Populus trichocarpa (black cottonwood)
Lineage: Eukaryota; Viridiplantae; Streptophyta; Magnoliopsida; Malpighiales; Salicaceae
Source: Rfam